GUAGUUCAUUAUUUAGAAUUUGAGCUACAGCUUCAUUAAAUAGUUUAUUGGCGUUUUAGUGGAAGUUUGGUGUAACUUUUUGGUUUUUAUAUAAACUGUUCUUACAGAUUUUUAUAUAUAACUGUUAUUUGGACCACAUGUUAAAUCUCAUGACUUCCCCCUAAGAAGAGACAAGCAAGUUUUAAACUGAUCUACAGAUUUGAACACUAAUCUCUUCCUUUGAAUCUUAGAUACAUGCAUCACCACUAAGCAAUUUUUAAAGACUAAAGUUAAUUUUUUUGUUCCAAUUUUGGAUUUUCUCAAGAGUUUAGAGUUAAUUUUUAACUGUCUGAACACUUUAAGAAAAAUCUUCAUUGUGAACACAUAAAAAGUUAUUUCACCUGUAAAUGAAUGAGGUGUCAGAAAAGCUUGAUGUGUACAAUACUAAGUCCAAAAUAGGUAGUCUUCCUAAACAUUUAACUUAUCUUUAACAACGUAUUCAACAGCUACUCCCUGCAGCCACAGACUGAACCAGCAUUCAGAAACACUGGUGACUAUUACCUCUA
RNAcentral lists this long non-coding RNA (545 nucleotides) under Bos taurus (domestic cattle). RNAcentral describes it as "long non-coding RNA NONBTAT026191". Lineage: Eukaryota; Metazoa; Chordata; Mammalia; Artiodactyla; Bovidae. The record is from RNAcentral.